CAUGCAAGUCGAACGGUAACAGAGGAGUGCUUGCACUCUUGCUGACGAGUGGCGGACGGGUGAGUAACGCGUAGGGAUCUGCCCAGCUGCGGGGGAUAGCCCGGUGAAAACCGGAUUAAUACCGCAUACGACCUUUUGGUGAAAGGGUGCCUCUCCUUGGAAGCAUUCACAGUUGGAUGACCCUGCGUCAGAUUAGCUAGUUGGUAGGGUAAUGGCCUACCAAGGCGACGAUCUGUAGCUGGUCUGAGAGGAUGAUCAGCCACACUGGGACUGAGACACGGCCCAGACUCCUACGGGAGGCAGCMHUGGGGAAUAUUGCGCAAUGGGGGCAACCCUGACGCARCAAUACCGCGUGUGUGAAGAAUGCCUGCGGRUUGUAAAGCMCUUUUCAGUAGGGCGGAAAGGUAUUUUGGUUAAUAGCKCAAUACUGUGACGUUACCCUACAGAAGAAGCACCGGGCUAACUCCGUGCCAAGCCWGCCCCCGGUAAUACSGGAUGGAGAMAACCUUUAAUCCSGAAAUUUCUGGGCGCAAAACGCGCGUWMCGGGGAAUUAUUAAGCCASAUGUGAAAGCCCCMKGGSCUCAACCCUUGGGCACGGC
RNAcentral lists this ribosomal RNA (600 nucleotides) under uncultured Gammaproteobacteria bacterium. RNAcentral's name for it is "partial 16S ribosomal RNA". It matches the Rfam family "Bacterial small subunit ribosomal RNA", at positions 54 to 624 of the family's 1533-position model. Lineage: Bacteria; Pseudomonadati; Pseudomonadota; Gammaproteobacteria. The record is from RNAcentral.